GAGUGGCUGCCGAAAUUAAGAGAGAAAGCAAGAGAGGAGUGCACGAAAAAAAGAGGAAAAAAGAGAAAAAGAAAGAGAGAAAGAAGGAGAAGAGGAAGGGGUUUAAAAAAUCUCUAGGUGCCUAAGGAUUGAUUUGCUUUGUGUUCUUGAACACUACCAAUGAGGGUGCUUGAUGAUUUAGUGCAAACACAGGGGUUGAACCACAUGUACACUUUCAUGCAUCUAGCUUUAGUGUCCACUGAUGGAGGAACGAAUGAAGCACGAGCUAAAAAUCUCUUCGAACGAUUUCUACUGAUGGAGCUAGAGACACAAUUUCUAAUUUGUCCUUGGAAAAAAAGUAAGUCAACUUAAUUUUAUUUACAUAUAUUUUGUUUAUUGAUAAAUAUCUUACACAAAAGUUUUUUUUUGUAGCUUUUACUAGAUGUUAGUAUUGAUUCAGCUACACAGUCAUUCGGUGGAUUUUUUGGAUCCUGUAAAUUCAUAUUUUCGUCCGGAAAUCAAGGAGAUAAUUAUCAUGGCAUUAGAUCAAUACGAUACACACCGAAGACAAAAAGAGUCUAUUAAACUAAAAGUUUGUGUUCAUAAAUGUUGAAACCAAACUGGGCCCACCAAGUGUGGCUAUUACAUUAUGAAGUUUGCUAGAGAAUUGAUUUCACAGCCUAGACCGAAGACCUACUUGAAAAAUGAGGUUAAAAUUACAAGUUUGCCCGUAGGCCAACUACCAGUACAGACACUCAAAACAAAGACUCCAACUUCUUUCAGUUACAACAGACUCUAACAAAAACAAGAAAGGCCUAACUAACUACAGCUCAGCAACCUAGACUACUUCUACAUCAUAUAUAAACUAGAUCGAGUUGGAAGAGAACUACCUGAAGCUUUAGUUAUCCCCUGUGAGCUGAGCUAGAGAGAGAGUGGUAGAGAGAGAAGCUCUGAGGAGCUCAAUUGUAAUCGCAUGCAAAAGAAAGAACAAAAAGGGAGUUAGUAAGAGAAAAAAAAGAAAAAGAAAACAGAGAGAAAUAAAGAACAGAUUAUCAAUCAAAGUGUGUGAUUCAAAAUCUGUUGCAAACUUUUGGAAUACCU
This is a long non-coding RNA of Humulus lupulus (European hop), 1080 nucleotides long. RefSeq lists it as uncharacterized. The record is from RefSeq and is a predicted model, not a curated record. NCBI's taxonomy places the organism in Eukaryota, Viridiplantae, Streptophyta, Magnoliopsida, Rosales, Cannabaceae. The transcript is spliced from 6 exons.